AUGGCGAGUGGCGAACGGGUGAGUAACAUAUCGGAACGUAUCCAAUAAUGGGGGAUAACUAAUCGAAAGGUUGGCUAAUACCGCAUACGCCCUACGGGGGAAAGCAGGGGAUCUUCGGACCUUGCGUUAAUGGAGCGGCCGAUAUCUGAUUAGGUAGUUGGUAGGGUAAAGGCCUACCAAGCCGACGAUCAGUAGCUGGUCUGAGAGGACGAUCAGCCACACUGGAACUGAGACACGGUCCAGACUCC
RNAcentral lists this ribosomal RNA (248 nucleotides) under uncultured bacterium. RNAcentral describes it as "partial 16S ribosomal RNA". It matches the Rfam family "Bacterial small subunit ribosomal RNA", at positions 88 to 339 of the family's 1533-position model. The record is from RNAcentral.